CUCAAGCUGCAACCCUAUGCACGAACUUCAGUCGCCAAUCGCCCGUGCUGCAAGCUGGCUUAUAAGUUCUUCGGACCAUUCAUCGUCACCGAGCGUGUGGGCACGCUCACUUACCGGCUUCAACUUCCUCCAGACAGCCGCAUCCACCCAGUGUUUCACGUGUCCCAGUUGAAGCCUUUCGUUCCUGACUAUACACCAGUCUUUGAUGAGCUUCCUAAGGUACCAGAUCUUGCAGCCCACGAGUCACAACCACUAGCAAUUUUGGAUCGCCGCAGGAUGAAGAAAGGAGACGCGCCGGUCAUCCAGCUGCAGAUUCAGUGGGAGAACAUGCCAGCCUCAGCAGCAACCUGGGAGGAUUACUCGGUGCUUCGCCAACGUUUUCCAGACGCAAGCAUUUGGGCAGAAGCAACCUCUCAAGGGGGGAACAAUGUCGCGCCUGCAUAUGCCCUUAGUCAACAUAUGCAGCGGACUGAACAAGUGCAGGUUCAGAGUUGCAUCUGA
Molecule: ribosomal RNA, 501 nt
Filed under: Triticum aestivum (bread wheat)
Lineage: Eukaryota; Viridiplantae; Streptophyta; Magnoliopsida; Poales; Poaceae
Description: partial small subunit ribosomal RNA
Source: RNAcentral